RNAcentral lists this ribosomal RNA (492 nucleotides) under uncultured bacterium. RNAcentral describes it as "partial 16S ribosomal RNA". It matches the Rfam family "Bacterial small subunit ribosomal RNA", at positions 29 to 507 of the family's 1533-position model. The record is from RNAcentral.
AGUGAACGCUGGCGGUAGGCCUAACACAUGCAAGUCGAACGGCAGCACAGUAAGAGCUUGCUCUUACGGGUGGCGAGUGGCGGACGGGUGAGGAAUACAUCGGAAUCUACUUUUUCGUGGGGGAUAACGUAGGGAAACUUACGCUAAUACCGCAUACGACCUACGGCUGAAAGCAGGGGAUCUUCGGACCUUGCGCGAUUGAAUGAGCCGAUGUCGGAUUAGCUAGUUGGCGGGGUAAAGGCCCACCAAGGCGACGAUCCGUAGCUGGUCUGAGAGGAUGAUCAGCCACACUGGAACUGAGACACGGUCCAGACUCCUACGGGAGGCAGCAGUGGGGAAUAUUGGGCAAUGGGCGCAAGCCUGAUCCAGCCAUACCGCGUGGGUGAAGAAGGCCUUCGGGUUGUAAAGCCCUUUUGUUGGGAAAGAAAAGCAGCAGGUUAAUACCCCGCUGUUCUGACGGUACCCAAAGAAUAAGCACCGGCUAACUUCGUG